RNAcentral lists this ribosomal RNA (497 nucleotides) under uncultured bacterium. RNAcentral's name for it is "partial 16S ribosomal RNA". It matches the Rfam family "Bacterial small subunit ribosomal RNA", at positions 28 to 507 of the family's 1533-position model. The record is from RNAcentral.
GAUGAACGCUGGCGGCGUGCCUAAUACAUGCAAGUCGAGCGAACGGACGAAAAGCUUGCUUCUCUGAUGUUAGCGGCGGACGGGUGAGUAACACGUGGAUAACCUACCUAUAAGACUGGGAUAACUUCGGGAAACCGGAGCUAAUACCGGAUAAUAUUUUGAACCGCAUGGUUCAAAAGUGAAAGACGGUCUUGCUGUCACUUAUAGAUGGAUCCGCGCUGCAUUAGCUAGUUGGUAAGGUAACGGCUUACCAAGGCAACGAUGCAUAGCCGACCUGAGAGGGUGAUCGGCCACACUGGAACUGAGACACGGUCCAGACUCCUACGGGAGGCAGCAGUAGGGAAUCUUCCGCAAAGGGCGAAAGCCUGACGGAGCAACGCCGCGUGAGUGAUGAAGGUCUUCGGAUCGUAAAACUCUGUUAUUAGGGAAGAACAUAUGUGUAAGUAACUGUGCACAUCUUGACGGUACCUAAUCAGAAAGCCACGGCUAACUACGUG